UGUAUAUAUAGGUGCUGAGGCGUGGCGGAAUGGCAAUCAUUCCCUUUCUGUGUAUAUGUAGGUUUGCCGGACUGCCGCGCACGGAGCGCCUUGCGAAUCCGGGAAGAUGAUGCCACCCAACCGCCGCCGCCUCCUUGCUCGGCUUCUUGCCAUCCUCACGUUAUUGCUGCUAAUCGUCGGUGGCCAUGCAGGCCGUGGUGGAAGGUUUGUUCCACGUCCACCUGCAAACUGCGAUGCUCGUCAGGACCCAGCCGGCUGCUCACGUUUGCCCUCUCCGAACUGUCCAGGAUGUGGAUAGCAGCAGGGCUCACUACCAACCCAAGCAUAUGUUAUGUCGUCGAGACGUCGACGAUGGUCUUUUAGUAUGUCUUGUGCUAUAUUUGUCGUGUUAUAAUAGAGAUUUAUCAAGGCCACAAUCAUUUACGUACAACAUGUUAAGGAAAACAAGCAUAGCUGAAAAUAUAAGACAGGUGAUGGGCUUCCGGCUUCUGGCUUCGAGGAUGUUUCCCCUUCGAGGAUCCUAUGCGGCCAACCCUGGCAUAUUUCCCCUUCGUCGUUCACCUUGGAAAUCAAAGCUGCCUGCUAUGUGCUUGUGAUUCGUUGUUUGGCAUAGGUCGGCAUGUGCUUUAGGCGGCUGUUUCGGUGGUGACCCCGUGGAUGAUAUGAUGAAGUGAAGUCGGAGUCGCUUGCUCGGGGAAAAGUGAUAACGAUGACUCUUGCGGACUGCCUCGACGAUGAUCAUCCUCUUGGCAAUGUAAUGUGUUGGUAGCCAGGCCGGCGGGUGUCCUAUGAAUGGGGCGUGUUGUUACGACUUUAUGUAGAUUAACCGAGCAACUAUUGUUUUUAAUUAACCGGCGGGUGCCCUUUGUGGCCGGACCUUGGCAAACUUGUUUUCAUAAACGAGAACGCG
Long non-coding RNA from Triticum urartu, 910 nucleotides. RefSeq lists it as uncharacterized. NCBI's taxonomy places the organism in Eukaryota, Viridiplantae, Streptophyta, Magnoliopsida, Poales, Poaceae. The record is from RefSeq and is a predicted model, not a curated record.